AGAGAUAUAUAAGAAAUACAACAAUGUAAUUGUUAGAACUUAGAAAUACACAUUAACAAUAACAAAGGAGCCUCAACAUAGGAAACAAAACACAUUUAAUCCUACGCAACACAAAACUAAAUGAAAUUAUAUUGAGUUCAAGCCUAAGACAGAGUUGGCAGUGUAUGAAAAUUGGGGAAGAAAAAGAGAAGAUUGUGUGUGUGAUUAGAAUAAUCUUCUAACUCAUAUUUAAUAGUUUUCCCGUGCAUAGAACGGGUUAGCGACUAAUAUACUAUAAAACUGAAACUUUUGACUUUUUGUUGACCUCUUCAUAUUAUGCCACAUAAGCUUUGGAGCCUCCACAAAUUUCCACAUCAUUUUAACGUUUUUAAUUUAUUUAAAUGUUUUGAGUAAAUAACACACAAAAGCUUUGAAAAACCCGAUUUUUUUCUGCCCAACUCCUCUUUACGCUCUUGGACAACUUCCAGACUUCAUAGCCACAAAUACUUCCAUAGAAUUAUCCAUAACCAAGAACUUCCACCAAUUGCUCAACCUCUGCGGUGAGAGAAGAAGCACUAAGCCGUACAAAUCACUACUAAGAGAGACUUGGAAAAGGUUUGUGGGAGACUCAAUGAUGUUGACCGAGUUAGGUGUGCGAUUGAAAGAACAAUGGAAGCUACAACAACGACCCACCUGCGAGUUCCUUCAAUUGAACAAUAAGAUCUGCGCAAUUCGGGCACUGCAAUCUACUGAAAUUUGUUGGGUUUGAUCAAGCACAUGGAGAAGACCAUCAAUUUUUGCUUGAUUAGAACAAUGUAAUCAAUGACACAUGAAAUAUGGGAGUGCUGAGAAGCGCUGGAAGUCUAGAGACCAACCAUGAUGUUUCCAUAGGAAGGAUAACUGGCGACCACAACCCAGCUAGUGUGGAGCUCAACCGCCCACCGGCAUUUUUAAUCACCGCUGUCUUGUCCUCUCUCUCCACUCUCUAGUCCACUAUCUAUCUUCUCCGGCAACAGUUUCAGCCCCCAACACCCUGAGGCAGAACAACCCCACUUGAAUGGCUGCCUUAGUCCCUCUGCUAAGUGAAUCCUACCACAGGCCCGGCUGUGGCAGAGGGUGUGCCUGCCUUUUCAGUUGUCAUUAUUGGCCUCACUAGGUCUAAUACGUGGAGAUGUUCUUCCUACACAGUAUAUACAUGGUCUUGCAGUAUGUAAAAUGUCCAUUUAGCACAUGGAGCAUAGACAAGAAGAGCUAAGAUUCGCUUAAUUUCCCAUCAUUUUUUCAUGAUGCAGAAAACAAACCUUCAAACUCCAACCUGAAUGGUGCCUACCACAGCCCCUCAGCCUUCCGCCAAGCCAAGUCUACCACCACCCCAGAGUCAAAAACUGAAGCCUCUGACCGUCUCCUUCAAACUCUCUCUCUUUCAAAUGCAUUCCCAUCUCCUUCUCCUUCUUCUUCAACUCUCUCAUCCAACGCAGCUCCCCAUCAUUUUCUAACCUCUCCAUCGUUGAAUUAUAGAAGGUACAAAGGUGCAUAAUUGACGGCAGGGGAUUUUCUCCCAUUCUUAGCAAUACCCGUAUCCUAACUCCUAAACAAGAGACAUGACUCUCAUGAAAAUGAAAUGCUGCAUCAUAAAGCAAACCUUAAUGGAUAUCUCGCCUACCACACCGGUCAAAAUCUUGACAGGACCCAUCAGGAUACUGACCGAGAUUUCUUCAUGAGUGCAAAAGAAGCCAAAGAAUAUGGGCUUAUAGAUGGUAUCAUUAUGAAUCCUCUCAAAGCUCUUCAGCCACUGGCAGCUAUGGCAGAGGCCGAGACUAAAGUUGAGUCUGGUGUGUAAAUUUCUCUUGGGUGACUUCUGUAGUGGAGGACAUGGCUUUAUAGAAGAGUUAAAUGAAGAAUGAUAUUUUCGGUGUGCCUGGGUUCAUAUUAGUUCAUGAUGCUGAUUUUCUUUAUAGCAGAGAAUUAAGAACCUUGAAUUUUGCUGCUGUUUACCCCUAAUUUCCAAAUGAUCAGUGUUGGCUGCAUAUCAUUCCUCUCUCUAUUUGAUAUGGUCGAAUAUGAGUAUUAGGUAUGGCCGUGUAUAAAAUUAUGGGGAUAUCUUCUUAAGAGAUUCUUCUUGUCAAGCUCUAUUUUUAUAUCUUUGGUUCUCCUUGAAAUAGGUUGAGCUUUGCGAUGAUGACGAGUUUCUUGUUCUAGCUUAUGAUGAGAUGGUUAGUUGGUUUUUCACUUAUUAAUGUGUUUUUUCUCUAUAAUUUGUGAAAUUUACUCUGAAUGCUUUAGGGAUAAUAUUCGAAUCUGUAUUUGUUAA
This is a long non-coding RNA of Quercus robur (English oak), 2290 nucleotides long. RefSeq lists it as uncharacterized. The record is from RefSeq and is a predicted model, not a curated record. The transcript is spliced from 7 exons. Lineage: Eukaryota; Viridiplantae; Streptophyta; Magnoliopsida; Fagales; Fagaceae.